Molecule: microRNA precursor, 99 nt
Filed under: Pteropus alecto (black flying fox)
Lineage: Eukaryota; Metazoa; Chordata; Mammalia; Chiroptera; Pteropodidae
Description: mir-544 microRNA precursor family
Rfam family: mir-544 microRNA precursor family
Source: Rfam by way of RNAcentral
AUCACCUAGAGAUCUUGUUAAAAUGCAGAUUCUAAUUUUGGUAAGUCUAGGGCAGGUCUUGCAACUCUGCAUUACUAACAAGUUCCCAGGUGAUGCUAA